AGGCUCUCGCAACGAUGAAGAACGCAGCGAAAUGCGAUAAGUAAUGUGAAUUGCAGAAUUCCGUGAAUCAUUAAAUCUUUGAACGCACAUUGCGCUCUUUGGUAUUCCGAAGAGCAUGUCUGUUUGAGAAUCAGUUUAACUUUAUCUGCCCUUGAUUAAUUUUUAGGGUGGGAAUGCUGGGACUCUCGAAGAAUUCUUAUUUUUUGAAGACCUGAAUAAAAUCCAUCUUUUUUGCUUGGUCCACUAUAGAGGUUUUUUUAAGCCUACUUGGGAAAGCAACAUGACCAAACUCUGACCGCAAGGUUGAGCUGAUUGUUGCCUCUUUAGUAAACGCUCUAAAUUGCCUUGAACUGAAGUCAUUAAGAACCAUACCCUACACACAAAAGUGCGCGAACUUUUAAGACUUGAUCUCAAAUCAGAUAAGACUACCCGCUGA
Molecule: unclassified non-coding RNA, 436 nt
Filed under: uncultured fungus
Lineage: Eukaryota; Fungi
Description: partial contains 5.8S ribosomal RNA and internal transcribed spacer 2
Rfam family: 5.8S ribosomal RNA (bases 2-133)
Source: RNAcentral